RNAcentral lists this unclassified non-coding RNA (353 nucleotides) under soil metagenome. RNAcentral describes it as "partial contains 5.8S ribosomal RNA, internal transcribed spacer 2, and large subunit ribosomal RNA". The stretch from base 1 to 120 matches the Rfam family "5.8S ribosomal RNA", at positions 35 to 154 of the family's 154-position model. The record is from RNAcentral.
GAUGAAGAACGUAGCUAAAUGCGAUAAGUAAUGUGAAUUGCAGAAUUCAGUGAAUCAUCGAAUCUUUGAACGCACAUUGCGCCGGCCAGUAGUCUGGCGGGCAUGCCUGUUCGAGCGUCAUUACAACCCUCAGGCCCCCGGGCCUGGCGUUGGGGAUCGGCGGAAGCCCCCUGCGGGCACAACGCCGUCCCCCAAAUACAGUGGCGGUCCCGCCGCAGCUUCCAUUGCGUAGUAGCUAACACCUCGCGACUGGAGAGCGGCGCGGCCACGCCGUAAAACACCCAACUUCUGAAUGUUGACCUCGAAUCAGGUAGGAAUACCCGCUGAACUUAAGCAUAUCAAUAAGCGGAGGA